RNAcentral lists this long non-coding RNA (723 nucleotides) under Pogona vitticeps (central bearded dragon). RNAcentral's name for it is "lncRNA (ENSPVIG00000025227.1)". The record is from RNAcentral. Lineage: Eukaryota; Metazoa; Chordata; Lepidosauria; Squamata; Agamidae.
GCAUUCCUAUUGGAUACCCGCCUUGCAAGACGCAGCGCGAAGGCUCUCUCUCUCUCCCCCCCACUCUUCCCGCCCGCUUCCCCCUCCGCCGCCGUCGCUCUCGGGGAAAAUGGCUGAAAGGGGAAGCGGUGGCGCGGGGUGGGGAGCGGGAGUCCGCGACGGCCAAGGCGCAGGCGCGCACAAGGGCGGCGGAGGGGCGAGUGGGGGGGAAACCACCCGGUCCCAGAGCAGCGGCUGCCCCGUCAUUGUCCGGGCUCCCUGAGGGUGGGGAAGGGGCGCCCUGGGCUCAGGGGCCACCGCGGAACAACCGAGCGGACUGGGGAGGAAAGGGGCCUCCGAAGGCGGCUUUCCCUAGGAAGAACCCUGCCCAAGCACUUGGGUUGCAACCCGAAUCACCCGGGGACUCAUUGUGCAGCAACCGAGAUUGACUCCGUCUCAUCUGUGUGGACCAGCGGGAUCCAUACUUCCCCAUCCUCCUCCCACCUCAACAAGCAAGUGCUUUCCCGAAAUGAGACAGAAACUAUCUGGUCCUGCGGCAGAAGGGGUUUGAGGCUGGUUUGUGUUGGGGCCCUUAACACCAACAUCAGCACCACCACUGCCACUCCUCUGCUCCCUAUAGAUAGUCACAAGAAAUUCAGCAGGAAUUCGGAGUUUGGAGAGUCAUGACGAUGUUCCAGAAGAAGAUGACAGGACUGUAUUUGAAUAAAUGUAGAUUGUUGUACA